Chiloscyllium plagiosum (whitespotted bambooshark) is the source of this 851-nucleotide non-coding RNA. NCBI's taxonomy places the organism in Eukaryota, Metazoa, Chordata, Chondrichthyes, Orectolobiformes, Hemiscylliidae. The record is from RefSeq and is a predicted model, not a curated record.
GAAUCAAACAAAAAUAUCACAAUGGUGUAAUGUUCAAAGUAAGUACCUGGAGAAAAGCCAAUUGACUGAUCAAAAGAUUGCUCAUAAGGAUUGCGUUUCCGUCGCUGGCUGUAGGUGUGUGGAGGGUGGGGACUACGAGAAGCGGUCUGAAUCAUACAGCAGGAUGAAUGACUUUUGACCCAAACGUCGAUUUUACUGCUCCUCGGAUACUACUUAAACUGCUGUGCUUUUCCAGCACCUGCAGUCAUUGUUUUUACCUGAAUCAUAGAGCGGUCAGCAGAAACAUUCGUUGUGCAUUUACGGGAGAGCAGCACCGCUUCACAAGAGGAAUAUAAUUGUGAAAGCUUAAAGUUUCCAGUGUCGCUGGGAGAAAGGUUUUCUUGAAUAUUAACAAUGGAAAAAGUUUCGGAGAGGCUGCUCUUCGCUCUCAUGGCGGUCUGGGUGGCUCGCGUGACCGGUAAGCAGCGCCCCGGAUCCUCUUUCACGCUCCUGGCCUGUGCUGAGAAUUAGCGGGAGGGCGCAUCUACAGCACCGGCUCAGGGUCUUCUUGCUCGGGAUUGGUUCGGAGAGACCAGGUGAGUGUGGAAAACCUCCGAUUUUAGAAAAUGGCUCACCAGAAAAUCCUCAGACUACCUCUCCUGUGGGUACAAGACUUGCUUAUACGUGUUUCCCAGGAUAUAUGUUUCAAGAAGGAGGUUCAAGACAUAUAACCUGCAGGGAAAAUUCAACUUGGUCACCUCUAAGAGCUGUUUGUGAACCAAUAAACUGUGGUAAUCCUGGAGAAAUUCUGAAUGGGUAUUAUAAUGUAUCAGACACUACUUUUGGAAAUAAAGUUAUUUUUUAUUGUGAUA